This 98-nucleotide signal recognition particle RNA is filed under the name Pseudomonadota bacterium. RNAcentral describes it as "signal recognition particle sRNA small type". It matches the Rfam family "Bacterial small signal recognition particle RNA". Rfam says of the family: The signal recognition particle (SRP) is a universally conserved ribonucleoprotein involved in the co-translational targeting of proteins to membranes. The record is from RNAcentral. Lineage: Bacteria; Pseudomonadati; Pseudomonadota.
GGCGGGCCUCCCCGCAUUGCAGCGCAGGAACCUGGUCAGGUCCGGAAGGAAGCAGCCAUAACUGCUCACUGCAAGUGCCGGGGUCAAGGCUCGCCACU